RNAcentral lists this ribosomal RNA (410 nucleotides) under Alcaligenes parafaecalis. RNAcentral describes it as "bacterial SSU rRNA". It matches the Rfam family "Bacterial small subunit ribosomal RNA", at positions 1039 to 1455 of the family's 1533-position model. The record is from RNAcentral. Lineage: Bacteria; Pseudomonadati; Pseudomonadota; Betaproteobacteria; Burkholderiales; Alcaligenaceae.
UGCUGCAUGGCUGUCGUCAGCUCGUGUCGUGAGAUGUUGGGUUAAGUCCCGCAACGAGCGCAACCCUUGUCAUUAGUUGCUACGCAAGAGCACUCUAAUGAGACUGCCGGUGACAAACCGGAGGAAGGUGGGGAUGACGUCAAGUCCUCAUGGCCCUUAUGGGUAGGGCUUCACACGUCAUACAAUGGUCGGGACAGAGGGUCGCCAACCCGCGAGGGGGAGCCAAUCUCAGAAACCCGAUCGUAGUCCGGAUCGCAGUCUGCAACUCGACUGCGUGAAGUCGGAAUCGCUAGUAAUCGCGGAUCAGAAUGUCGCGGUGAAUACGUUCCCGGGUCUUGUACACACCGCCCGUCACACCAUGGGAGUGGGUUUCACCAGAAGUAGGUAGCCUAACCGUAAGGAGGGCGCUU